GAUCAAUGAUGAAAAGGUUUCACUACAGACCUUUAUAAACUAUAAGGGUUUAGACACUUGCUCUGAGCUCA
RNAcentral lists this small nucleolar RNA (71 nucleotides) under Suricata suricatta (meerkat). Its description in RNAcentral is "Small nucleolar RNA U2-30 (ENSSSUG00005016560.1)". It matches the Rfam family "Small nucleolar RNA U2-30". Rfam says of the family: U2-30 is a member of the C/D class of snoRNA which contain the C (UGAUGA) and D (CUGA) box motifs. The record is from Rfam by way of RNAcentral. Lineage: Eukaryota; Metazoa; Chordata; Mammalia; Carnivora; Herpestidae.